GGACGCAUACGGACGAAAGAGUCCUCUUAAUCAGCGGGUCCUAGGUUCGAGCCCUAGUGCGUCCACCA
This 68-nucleotide transfer RNA is filed under the name Sphingobium sp. JS3065. RNAcentral's name for it is "tRNA-OTHER". The record is from RNAcentral. Lineage: Bacteria; Pseudomonadati; Pseudomonadota; Alphaproteobacteria; Sphingomonadales; Sphingobiaceae.